UGUCUUGUAAAUGGAAUGAUGGUGACUUAAACCCUCACCAGAGUACCAAUUGGAGGGCAAGUCUGGUGCCAGCAGCCGCGGUAAUUCCAGCUCCAAUAGCGUAUAUUAAACUUGUUGCAGUUAAAAAGCUCGUAGUUGAAUUUCAGCGUUUCGCGUGUGCCUCUUUUGGCCCAUCUCGUCUCGCUUUUUUUAUUACUUUGAGAAAAUUAGAGUGUUUCAAGCAGGCUUUUGUCUUGAAUACUUGAGCAUGGAAUAAUAGAGUAGGACCUUGGUUCUAUUUUGUUGGUUUUGUUACCUUGGUAAUGGUUAAUAGGAACGGUUGGGGGCAUUCGUAUUUAACUGUCAGAGGUGAAAUUCUUAGAUUUGUUAAAGACGAACUACUGCGAAAGCAUUUGCCAAGGACGUUUCCAUUAAUCAA
Molecule: ribosomal RNA, 418 nt
Filed under: Babesia occultans
Lineage: Eukaryota; Apicomplexa; Aconoidasida; Piroplasmida; Babesiidae
Description: SSU rRNA
Rfam family: Eukaryotic small subunit ribosomal RNA
Source: RNAcentral